AUGAACGCUGGCGGCGUGCCUAAUACAUGCAAGUCGAGCGAACAGACGAGGAGCUUGCUCCUCUGACGUUAGCGGCGGACGAGUGAGUAACACGUGGAUAACCUACCUAUAAGACUGGGAUAACUUCGGGAAACCGGAGCUAAUACCGGAUAACAUGUUGAACCGCAUGGUUCAACAGUGAAAGACGGUCUUGCUGUCACUUAUAGAUGGAUCCGCGCCGCAUUAGCUAGUUGGUAAGGUAACGGCUUACCAAGGCAACGAUGCGUAGCCGACCUGAGAGGGUGAUCGGCCACACUGGAACUGAGACACGGUCCAGACUCCUACGGGAGGCAGCAGUAGGGAAUCUUCCGCAAUGGGCGAAAGCCUGACGGAGCAACGCCGCGUGAGUGAAGAAGGUCUUCGGAUCGUAAAACUCUGUUAUUAGGGAAGAACAAAUGUGUAAGUAACUAUGCACGUCUUGACGGUACCUAAUCAGAAAGCCACGGCUAACUACGUG
This 496-nucleotide ribosomal RNA is filed under the name uncultured bacterium. RNAcentral describes it as "partial 16S ribosomal RNA". It matches the Rfam family "Bacterial small subunit ribosomal RNA", at positions 29 to 507 of the family's 1533-position model. The record is from RNAcentral.